UUAGAAGAAUAAAUACUUUCUAGAGGAAA
Molecule: non-coding RNA, 29 nt
Filed under: Mus musculus (house mouse)
Lineage: Eukaryota; Metazoa; Chordata; Mammalia; Rodentia; Muridae
Source: RNAcentral